UGAUAUAUCAAAGGAAACUUAACUGACUUUAAGUGCAAAUGUUUCAACCUGAACAACUUAAAACUUCUCUGGGAUACAAUGUAAACAAAGACAAGAAGAAGAAAAAUAUUUCCAUCAAUAGUCACUUUUCCUAACCAGGAGACAAGUGAAUAUAUUAUGUAAAGAGUCCUUUUUCUCAGUCCUGGGGUUGUAACACCACAACCUCCUCAGUCCGUAAUCAAAGAGUGUCUAUUUGACAAUAACCAAAAUGUCUUUGGAUAGUCUUUGUGAAUGAAAACAAAACAAAAACAAACAAAUGGUAUUAGCUGGCCAGCAAAAUAAAGAGAGUGUAUGGCACUGAGUGCGGGCGUGUGUGUGAGUACUUCGGUCCAAAUAAUCAAGGUCCGGAUGGAUGAAGGGAUGGCGGCCGCUUGUCCUUUAAUGGCACCAGUAAGGCAGCACAGUAGUAAGGCAGCACAGCAGCGAGGCAGCACAGCAGUAAGGCAGCACAGCAGCGAAGCGUCUGGCAGGAGAACGAACAAUAGUCCUUUUCAAGGCUACUGCAGAAGGCGAUAUUCCCCGCUAGCUCACCCCAGCUUGCUCUCUGGCACAGCUACAAGCCACGUGAGCUCAUAGCCCCUCCCGCUAGGAUGUACUACCACAGUCGACUGUCGUAAAGCAGCCGCAAACCAAUAGCAAUAAAAAAAAAAACUCAAAAUCAUUGAAGAACAUUUUAUAACACCCAAUAUAGGUAUAUACAUAUAUACUGAAUAUCACACAAUAUCAGAUAACCAAAUUAACACUGGGUUACAUCCACCCCUGCUUAAAGUGUGACGUCCCCGUCACUAUCACCCGACAGAGAUUGCACUAACCCAGCAAUCUGUUGUUGUAAUGACAGGAAAAAGUUAUUGAGCAAUGCAAGUGUCAUCGGAAGCCGUGGCUCUCUACCAAACAUCAGAAGGAAGGGCGCUUCUCCAGUUGCGUCAUGUUUUGUACAGUUAUAAGCAUGUACAAGGGGGCGAACAUACUUCCUCCACUCCUCUUUUUUUUUUCUUUUCCUCCAGUUGCUCUCUGGUACAAGCAUCCAGCGCUGUGGGAG
Long non-coding RNA from Astatotilapia calliptera (eastern happy), 1078 nucleotides. NCBI's taxonomy places the organism in Eukaryota, Metazoa, Chordata, Actinopteri, Cichliformes, Cichlidae. The record is from Ensembl.